RNAcentral lists this transfer RNA (74 nucleotides) under 'Populus nigra' phytoplasma. Its description in RNAcentral is "tRNA-Ile". Lineage: Bacteria; Bacillati; Mycoplasmatota; Mollicutes; Acholeplasmatales; Acholeplasmataceae. The record is from RNAcentral.
AAGUGUCUAUAUCUCGGCUGGUUAGAACACACGCCUGAUAAUUUUGAGGUCGGUGGUUCAAGUCCAUUUAGGUC